ACAGUUCAUUUUCUUGGGGGUUGCAGUUCUAACCUAACCUAACCCACUUUUCAGACAACAGUUCGUUUUCUUGGGGGACGCAGUUUUAACCUAACCUAACCCACUUUUCUGGCAACAUUCGUUUUCUUGGGGGUCGCAGUUCUAACCUAACCUAACCCACCUUUCAGGCAACAGUUUGUUUUCGUGGGGUCGCAGUUCUAACCUAACCUAACCCACUUUUCUGGCAACAUUCGUUUUCUUGGGGGACGCAGUUUUAACCUAACCUAACCCACUUUUCUGGCAACAGUUUGUUUUCGUGAGGUCGCAGUUCUAACCUAACCUAACCCACUUUUCUGGCAAUAGUUCGUUUUC
Molecule: long non-coding RNA, 351 nt
Organism: Cydia amplana
Lineage: Eukaryota; Metazoa; Arthropoda; Insecta; Lepidoptera; Tortricidae
Exons: 3
Source: RefSeq, a predicted model, not a curated record